This 366-nucleotide ribosomal RNA is filed under the name Triticum aestivum (bread wheat). Its description in RNAcentral is "partial small subunit ribosomal RNA". Lineage: Eukaryota; Viridiplantae; Streptophyta; Magnoliopsida; Poales; Poaceae. The record is from RNAcentral.
AUGCUAAGUUUCAGUCCCUGUGUUAACAAUAAGUUUCAGUCAUUCUAUUUUCUUUGUAGUAGUUCAGUAACCAAAUGUAGAUGGUGCGGCGCUCCAGUUUCAGAGGAUGAUUGGAGAUGUACCAGUACAUUUGCAAUGUUGUUGUUUGUUCCUCUUGGUUACCAGGCCUGGGCGAAAGAUCUCUGUCGGCACGACGGACAGCGUGAUUCUCGGUGUGUAGAUGCUGAAGGUUUUUGCUCUCUUGCUUCCUUCACUGAAGUUUUGGGUUUCAGAUGCUCCACCCCUUGCUCUAGUCCAAUGCAUGUAUAUUUGCACCACUUGCUCUGUGGCUCUUUUGCUGUUUGCUUGUGUUGCUUUCAGCAGUGA